GGGGUGUGCUCAGAGCAGGGGCCUGAAGAAUGGCUCUGCUGUUCAUAACACACCCCAGAGGAAUCUGGGGUCACUGUGAUGAGAGGGAAAAAAGCCUGUAGCCUCCCUAUGAAUAAAUUCCCUACAUGU
This is a small nucleolar RNA of Otolemur garnettii (small-eared galago), 129 nucleotides long. Lineage: Eukaryota; Metazoa; Chordata; Mammalia; Primates; Galagidae. The record is from Ensembl.